RNAcentral lists this long non-coding RNA (671 nucleotides) under Sander lucioperca (pikeperch). Its description in RNAcentral is "lncRNA (ENSSLUG00000003745.1)". Lineage: Eukaryota; Metazoa; Chordata; Actinopteri; Perciformes; Percidae. The record is from RNAcentral.
CGCGCGUGUAUUUAACCCUCCCUACAAUGAAGCACGAGCUACUAAUCAUGCACAGACGUGCACCAACGUGCUUUUUAGCCCAUUUUUCUUGGCGGACUAAAGCUGCAUUCCGCCCCACCCCUUACAAACAACAUCAUCACUGUACCUAAAUCAGGAAGCACCGACACGUUUUCUUUUCUGUACGGAGACACUUUGGUGAUUACAGCAACGGUGAACCAUAAAGGGGAAAAGGCGUUAUUGUUGUUGAUGUUGUUGACGUGUUGACGUCCACCGUCGACUACUGUCGAAAGAAGACUGACAGUUGGUUACAUCCAGUACAAGGCUCAGCUGUGGAUGCAUUUGACACAGACUAACCGGAGAAGGUCUCUGUCAGCAGCAUGGGCCAGCAUCUAGGAAAGAGGGAGUCUCCCACAGUCAGCAAGGCUCCAUCACCUGAACCUGUAGCAGAGCAGACAGCAGCAGCAGUAGCAGCAGAACCCGAACCACAUGAUGAAGUCUUUGGUAAGGGGCAAAAAUCUUGAAUUUCAAUUGAUAUGUAUAUUGACAUCACACUAAACUCCCAGUGUUGGUCAGACUUUCCUAUUAAAAACCAACGGACACACAACAAUUGAUAUACAUGUUCUUAUCCUUUUGGCUGCUGAAUUUAGUGUAUAAAAGAGUUAGUAUUGAGC